ACCAGAUAUAGGCGUCACGGUCUGCCAUAUCCCUAGAUUUGGUGGCUAAGAGGGAAGCCGGUGAACUACGGGUUGAUCCGUAAAAACCCGGCGCUGCCCCCGCAACUGUAAGCAGUGAGUUGUUCCCGAUAGCUAAGUCACUGAUGCCGCAAGGCAUUGGGAAGACGAGGGAGCAAUGACGACCUGCGAGCCAGGAGACCUGCCGCGACACCGAAAUUACG
RNAcentral lists this non-coding RNA (221 nucleotides) under Bradyrhizobium elkanii. The record is from RNAcentral. Lineage: Bacteria; Pseudomonadati; Pseudomonadota; Alphaproteobacteria; Hyphomicrobiales; Nitrobacteraceae.